This 253-nucleotide ribosomal RNA is filed under the name uncultured bacterium. RNAcentral's name for it is "partial 16S ribosomal RNA". It matches the Rfam family "Bacterial small subunit ribosomal RNA", at positions 524 to 776 of the family's 1533-position model. The record is from RNAcentral.
UACGUAGGGUGCAAGCGUUAUCCGGAAUUAUUGGGCGUAAGGAGCUCGUAGGCGGUUUGUCGCGUCUGCUGUGAAAACUGGAGGCUCAACCUCCAGCCUGCAGUGGGUACGGGCAGACUAGAGUGCGGUAGGGGGGAUUGGAAUUCCUGGUGUAGCGGUGGAAUGCGCAGAUAUCAGGAGGAACACCGAUGGCGAAGGCAGAUCUCUGGGCCGUAACUGACGCUGAGGAGCGAAAGCAUGGGGAGCGAACAGG